UGGGGAAUCUUAGACAAUGGGGGCAACCCUGAUCUAGCCAUGCCGCGUGAGUGAUGAAGGCCUUAGGGUUGUAAAGCUCUUUCAGCUGGGAAGAUAAUGACGGUACCAGCAGAAGAAGCCCCGGCUAACUCCGUGCCAGCAGCCGCGGUAAUACGGAGGGGGCUAGCGUUGUUCGGAAUUACUGGGCGUAAAGCGCACGUAGGCGGACCAGAAAGUUGGGGGUGAAAUCCCGGGGCUCAACCUCGGAACUGCCCUCAAAACUAUUGGUCUGGAGUUCGAGAGAGGUGAGUGGAAUUCCGAGUGUAGAGGUGAAAUUCGUAGAUAUUCGGAGGAACACCAGUGGCGAAGGCGGCUCACUGGCUCGAUACUGACGCUGAGGUGCGAAAGCGUGGGGAGUAAACAGGAUUAGAUACCCUGGUAGUCCACGCCGUAAACGAUGAAUGCCAGACGUCGGGCAGCAUGCUGUUCGGUGUCACACCUAACGGNUUAAGCAUUCCGCCUGGGGAGUACGGUCGC
RNAcentral lists this ribosomal RNA (516 nucleotides) under uncultured bacterium. RNAcentral describes it as "partial 16S ribosomal RNA". It matches the Rfam family "Bacterial small subunit ribosomal RNA", at positions 355 to 889 of the family's 1533-position model. The record is from RNAcentral.